GGGCUAUCUUUCAUUGGCAAGUCAAUCAGAAGGAGGAGUUAUCGGCGGUGAAAUUCCUGGGUCAAAGAGCAUGUGCAUUGACGAUGGAUGUUGCUAAAUUGUCCUCAGUAGAGAAUGUAGUGCCAGUUGCCAUACCAGCAGUGUGUGAGAGCUGUUCACAUGUUAGGGAACUUUCUGAUCUUUGUCAGAUUGACUGGCAGAAAAUGGUGUGUUUAGAGUUUUGAUUUGCAUUUCUUUUAUGAGUGAACACACUUUAAGUUGAGCCAUUUGUAUUUUCUCUCUUGUGAGUUGUCUGUUAAUAUCCGUGACCCAUUUUUUUCCCCUCCCCAUCCUCUCCACGACCCAUUUUUAGAAAAUGAGAUUAUUAAUCAGUUCUUGUGUUUGGGGGAAUUGCUACAUUGAGGACAUUAGUUCUUUGAGCUUAAUGUAUUACAUGGACUUUAAGAAAAGAGGUAAUCAUAGAAAGUAAGAUGGGAGCUUCAGUUUAUUAAAAUCAAAGUGGAAGCCAUUCAGGAUGGGUUGUGGCCAGUAAGCUUUGAGUAUUGCUAUUAGACCUGGCAUCUAUUUUCAGCUGUGUUUCAUCACAUAAAAGAUAUUCAAC
RNAcentral lists this long non-coding RNA (601 nucleotides) under Marmota monax (woodchuck). Lineage: Eukaryota; Metazoa; Chordata; Mammalia; Rodentia; Sciuridae. The record is from RNAcentral.